GGGCCCGCACAAGCAGCGGAGCGUGUGGUUUAAUUCGAGGCUACACGAAGAACCUUACCUGGGUUUGACAUACAAGUAGUAGUGAAGCGAAAGCGGAACGACCUUCGGGAGCUUGAACAGGUGCUGCAUGGCUGUCGUCAGCUCGUGCCGUGAGGUGUUCGGUUAAGUCCGCAAACGAGCGCAACCCUCGGCGUUAGUUACAAGUGUCUAACGCAACUGCCCGUGAGAAACGGGAGGAAGGUGGGGAUGACGUCAAGUCAGCAUGGCCUUUAUAUCCAGGGCUACACACACGCUACAAUGGGCGGUACAACGGGUCGCGAAGCCGCGAGGUGGAGCCAAUCCAGAAAGCCGUUCGUAGUUCGGAUUGCAGGCUGCAACUCGCCUGCAUGAAGUCGGAGUUGCUAGUAACCGCAGGUCAGCUAUACUGCGGUGAAUACGUUCCCGGGCCUU
RNAcentral lists this ribosomal RNA (450 nucleotides) under uncultured bacterium. RNAcentral describes it as "bacterial SSU rRNA". It matches the Rfam family "Bacterial small subunit ribosomal RNA", at positions 917 to 1382 of the family's 1533-position model. The record is from RNAcentral.